AGUGAACGCUGGCGGUAGGCCUAACACAUGCAAGUCGAACGGCAGCACAGUAAGAGCUUGCUCUUACGGGUGGCGCGUGGCGGACGGGUGAGGAAUACAUCGGAAUCUACUUUUUCGUGGGGGAUAACGUAGGGAAACUUACGCUAAUACCGCAUACGACCUACGGGUGAAAGCAGGGGAUCUUCGGACCUUGCGCGAUUGAAUGAGCCGAUGUCGGAUUAGCUAGUUGGCGGGGUAAAGGCCCACCAAGGCGACGAUCCGUAGCUGGUCUGAGAGGAUGAUCAGCCACACUGGAACUGAGACACGGUCCAGACUCCUACGGGAAGCCGCAGUGGGGAAUAUUGGGCAAUGGGCGCAAGCCUGAUCCAGCCAUACCGCGUGGGUGAAGAACGCCUUCGGGUUGUAAAGCCCUUUUGUUGGGAAAGAAAAGCAGCAGGUUAAUACCCCGCUGUUCUGACGGUACCCAAAGAAUAAGCACCGGCUAACUUCGUG
RNAcentral lists this ribosomal RNA (492 nucleotides) under uncultured bacterium. RNAcentral describes it as "partial 16S ribosomal RNA". It matches the Rfam family "Bacterial small subunit ribosomal RNA", at positions 29 to 507 of the family's 1533-position model. The record is from RNAcentral.